GACAGAGGGUGCAAACGUUGUUCGGAAUUACUGGGCGUAAAGCGCGUGUAGGCGGCUCGGCAAGUCGGGUGUGAAAGCCCUGGGCUUAACCUAGGAAGUGCACUCGAAACUGCCAAGCUUGAGUUCUGGAGAGGAAGGCGGAAUUCUCGGUGUAGAGGUGAAAUGCGUAGAUAUCUGGAGGAACACCGGUGGCGAAGGCGGCAUCCUGGACCAAGCACUGACACUGAUGAGCGAAAGCCAGGGGGAGCAAACGGGG
Molecule: ribosomal RNA, 256 nt
Filed under: uncultured bacterium
Lineage: Bacteria
Description: partial 16S ribosomal RNA
Rfam family: Bacterial small subunit ribosomal RNA
Source: RNAcentral